Long non-coding RNA from Drosophila mauritiana, 551 nucleotides. RefSeq lists it as uncharacterized. The transcript has 2 exons. The record is from RefSeq and is a predicted model, not a curated record. NCBI's taxonomy places the organism in Eukaryota, Metazoa, Arthropoda, Insecta, Diptera, Drosophilidae.
CAAGGGUUACCACCUUUAAAAUGGAGACAUUCUAAUCAGGAUCAUCGUAGUAGUCGUCCAUCUGAGCACGCUGUAUCAUCGCAUUGAUCGGUUAAGAUAUCCAAGUGCGAGUUUAAUGUCCUAGUGUGUUCCACAUUUGCAUUGUCUUCAUUUGUUUGUACGGUGAUGACGACAGCACUGUUGUCGUCAUAGUCUCCUUGUUGGGCCAUUGUCCGGACUCCAAUCCCCGGACUCCUAUCUCCGGACUCCCGACUCAUUGUUGGCCCUUUGUUUUUGCGCCUCGCGUGUCUAAUAAAAGCGCAUCACAAUGUGGGUCAUUGUACGACUACACAGGCCAGUCGGCAUCAUAUGACUUUGCAUUUGUCAGCAGCAUGCAACUGCUGCAACAUCAACACAUAAAGCGCUGCUAAUUGCAAACGUUCACAUGCGGCAAAAUCGGCAAGAGGCAUGCAGAGAAAAUAUUUAUUUUCCAAAUUUUUUAAUUUAAAUUCAAGAAAAACAACAUCAGAUGGUUUUUUUUCUAAUAUUUAAGAAUUGAAACGUUGAAACGA